UAACAGAGAGAAGCUUGCUUCUUUGCUGACGAGCGGCGGACGGGUGAGUAAUACUUGGGAACUUGCCUCUAGGCGGGGGACAACCACUGGAAACGGUGGCUAAUACCGCAUAAUGUCUACGGACCAAAGUGGGGGACCUUCGGGCCUCACACCUAGAGAUGGGCCCAAGCGGGAUUAGCUAGUUGGUGAGGUAAAGGCUCACCAAGGCGACGAUCCCUAGCUGUUCUGAGAGGAUGAUCAGCCACACUGGGACUGAGACACGGCCCAGACUCCUACGGGAGGCAGCAGUGGGGAAUAUUGCACAAUGGGCGCAAGCCUGAUGCAGCCAUGCCGCGUGUGUGAAGAAGGCCUUCGGGUUGUAAAGCACUUUCAGUGGUGAGGAAGGUCAGUAAGUUAAUAGCUUGCUGAAUUGACGUUAGCCACAGAAGAAGCACCGGCUAACUCCGUGCCAGCAGCCGCGGUAAUACGGAGGGUGCAAGCGUUAAUCGGAAUUACUGGGCGUAAAGCGUACGUAGGCGGUGUGUUAAGCAAGAUGUGAAAGCCCCGGGCUCAACCUGGGAAUUGCAUUUUGAACUGGCACGCUAGAGUCCUGAAGAGGGUGGUAGAAUUUCCAGUGUAGCGGUGAAAUGCGUAGAUAUUGGAAGGAAUACCAGUGGCGAAGGCGGCCACCUGGUCAGAGACUGACGCUGAGGUACGAAAGCGUGGGGAGC
RNAcentral lists this ribosomal RNA (710 nucleotides) under uncultured Idiomarina sp. RNAcentral describes it as "bacterial SSU rRNA". It matches the Rfam family "Bacterial small subunit ribosomal RNA", at positions 70 to 769 of the family's 1533-position model. Lineage: Bacteria; Pseudomonadati; Pseudomonadota; Gammaproteobacteria; Alteromonadales; Idiomarinaceae. The record is from RNAcentral.